RNAcentral lists this long non-coding RNA (1191 nucleotides) under Homo sapiens (human). RNAcentral describes it as "HSALNT0326790". The record is from RNAcentral. Lineage: Eukaryota; Metazoa; Chordata; Mammalia; Primates; Hominidae.
CCCUGUCCGUGCCACCCGCCGCGUCCUUCCCCUCGAGCUCUGCCCCGGGGGCCCCGCCACCUCGCAGUGCCAUCCCCCCGGCGCAGCCGGGCGCCACUCGCUUUGAAGUGCAGACGAGGAGGCGCGGGCGCGAGCGUGUGUGUCUGUGGGGCUGCUGUGGGACUGUCUGUGCUAGGAGAGCGGCGGAAAACCCGGCGUGGAGCGCCUGCAGUCCGCCGUCCGGGGUCGCGCCCGCCGCGGGGCUCAGGAGGGACCGGCACGCAGGCGCGCACGGCCGCGCACCUGUCUCGCUAGAACCCCGCGCGCCCCGCCGAGCCACUGCCCUCCAGGUUGCCCAGACCGCUGGAGCCUCUGCGACUCCACGACCGGCUGCUUCCUGCGAAGUUUCACAAACAAGGUUAUUUAGGACCCUCAAGGUUUCUGAGGGUUUAAGUUUUAGGGUUUCUGGGGGUUCGUUUCUAAAGGCUUAGGAUUCACCUACUUCAAGGAGGCAGGGUUGUGGGAAUUAAGACCGCAUUCUUUUUCUACCCAGCCCAGUCCCUACUAAGUACCAGACUUCUAAAUGUUGGGGCGGACAGAAACAAGCAAACAAAAUAUACAAUGUUGUGGGGUCGGAACGCUUUAUAAUUCACAAAUUUGACAAUAGGCUGCAUUUUCAUAUGCCGAAUUGCCUAAGAGUUCUCUUAAAGGAACAGCAAUGUGAAAGAACCACAUGGUAAGGAGAAUUUACGCAUGUCCUGCAUACUACUCCUUUCCCCUGUGAAUUGCAUAAGACCUAGAUGAUCUUGGGCCAAGGAAGAAAAUCUGGAAGGGUGUUUCUACCCACCAUGUGCAGAGUACACUACAAUUUUGAGAAAACGGAAAGACCAUAUUCAAAGGCAUACAGAAAAGCCUGUUCUGUUUACAAAGGCUGACCCAGGGCACCAGGGACACUGUCCCUAAGCAGAUCAGUUGUGGGAGAACUUUUCUACAUUAGCAUGCAAUAAGCAAACCAUUCAUAGUGAGGAGAAGUCAAACUCCCAAGGGUCCAUUUGAUAAAACUUUGUCAUUGUCGAGUGGAAAGAAGAUACUGAGAAACUUACACUAAGUGGUGGGAUCCCUUGUCUUUGUCUUUGAAUCUACAGGUAUUGGAGAAGAAAUUCUGCCCUUGAAAUUUAGACUCCAUAAAUUAACAUGGCACAACAAAUAAAG